AGGACGAACGCUGGCGGCGUGCUUAACACAUGCAAGUCGAGCGGAAAGGCCCUUCGGGGUACUCGAGCGGCGAACGGGUGAGUAGCACGUGAGCAACCUGCCCUUAGCUUCGGGAUAGCUCCGGGAAACCGGAAUUAAUACCGGAUAUGACUAUGGCCGACAUCAGCCAUGGUGGAAAGUUUUUCGGCUAGGGAUGGACUCGCGGCCUAUCAGCUAGUUGGUGAGGUAACGGCUCACCAAGGCGACGACGGGUAGCCGGCCUGAGAGGGCGACCGGCCACACUGGGACUGAGACACGGCCCAGACUCCUACGGGAGGCAGCAGUGGGGAAUAUUGCGCAAUGGGCGAAAGCCUGACGCAGCGACGCCGCGUGGGGAUGAAUGCCUUCGGGUUGUAAACCCCUUUCAGCAGGGACGAAGCGAAAGUGACGGUACCUGCAGAAGAAGCGCCGGCUAACUACGCGCCAGCAGCCGC
Molecule: ribosomal RNA, 473 nt
Filed under: uncultured bacterium
Lineage: Bacteria
Description: SSU rRNA
Rfam family: Bacterial small subunit ribosomal RNA
Source: RNAcentral